GACGAACGCUGGCGGCGUGCCUAAUACAUGCAAGUAGAACGCUGAAGGAAGGAGCUUGCUCUUUCUGGAUGAGUUGCGAACGGGUGAGUAACGCGUAGGUAACCUGCCUGGUAGCGGGGGAUAACUAUUGGAAACGAUAGCUAAUACCGCAUAAAAUUGAUUAUUGCAUGAUAGUCAAUUAAAAGGUGCAACUGCACCACUACCAGAUUGACCUGCGUUGGAUUAGCUAGUUGGUGGGGUAACGGCUCACCCAGGCGACGAUACAUAGCCGACCUGAGAGGGUGAUCGGCCACACUGGGACUGAGACACGGCCCAGACUCCUACGGGAGGCAGCAGUAGGGAAUCUUCGGCAAUGGACGGAAGUCUGACCGAGCAACGCCGCGUGAGUGAAGAAGGGUUUCGGAUCGUAAAGCUCUGUUGUAAGAGAAGAACGAGUGUGAGAGUGGAAAGUUCACACUGUGACGGUAUCUUACCAGAAAGGGACGGCUAACUACGUG
Molecule: ribosomal RNA, 497 nt
Filed under: uncultured bacterium
Lineage: Bacteria
Description: partial 16S ribosomal RNA
Rfam family: Bacterial small subunit ribosomal RNA
Source: RNAcentral